CCUACGGGGCGCAGCAGUGGGGGAUAUUGCACAAUGGGGGAAACCCUGAUGCAGCGACGCCGCGUGAGUGAAGAAGUAUUUCGGUAUGUAAAGCUCUAUCAGCAGGGACGAAAAUGACGGUACCUGAGUAAGAAGCCCCGGCUAACUACGUGCCAGCAGCCGCGGUAAUACGGAGGAUGCGAGCGUUAUCCGGAUUUGUUGGGUUUAAAGGGUGCGUAGGCGGACGCUUAAGUCAGCGGUAAAAUUGCGGGGCUCAACCUCGUCGAGCCGUUGAAACUGGGUGCCUUGAGUGGGCGAGAAGUACG
RNAcentral lists this ribosomal RNA (305 nucleotides) under uncultured bacterium. Its description in RNAcentral is "bacterial SSU rRNA". It matches the Rfam family "Bacterial small subunit ribosomal RNA", at positions 338 to 661 of the family's 1533-position model. The record is from RNAcentral.